AGUGAACGCUGGCGGUAGGCCUAACACAUGCAAGUCGAACGGCAGCACAGGAGAGCUUGCUCUCUGGGUGGCGAGUGGCGGACGGGUGAGGAAUACAUCGGAAUCUACUCUGUCGUGGGGGAUAACGUAGGGAAACUUACGCUAAUACCGCAUACGACCUACGGGUGAAAGCAGGGGACCUUCGGGCCUUGCGCGAUUGAAUGAGCCGAUGUCGGAUUCGCUAGUUGGCGGGGUAAAGGCCCACCAAGGCGACGAUCCGUAGCUGGUCUGAGAGGAUGAUCAGCCACACUGGAACUGAGACACGGGCCAGACUCGUACGGGAGGCAGCAGUGGGGAAUAUUGGACGAUGGGCGCAAGCCUGAUCCAGCCAUACCGCGUGGGUGAAGAAGGCCUUCGGGUUGUAAAGCCCUUUUGUUGGGAAAGAAAUCCAGCUGGCUAAUACCCGGUUGGGAUGACGGUACCCAAAGAAUAAGCACCGGCUAACUUCGUGCCAGCCGCCGCAGUAA
RNAcentral lists this ribosomal RNA (506 nucleotides) under uncultured bacterium. RNAcentral describes it as "partial 16S ribosomal RNA". It matches the Rfam family "Bacterial small subunit ribosomal RNA", at positions 29 to 523 of the family's 1533-position model. The record is from RNAcentral.